GAUGAACGCUGGCUACAGGCUUAACACAUGCAAGUCGAGGGGAAACGCCGGGGAAGCUUGCUUCCCCGGGCGUCGACCGGCGCACGGGUGAGUAACGCGUAUCCAACCUGCCUCUGACUGAGGGAUAACCCGUCGAAAGUCGGCCUAAUACCUCAUGGCAUCGUCUGCGGGCAUCCAACGACGAUUAAAGAUUUCAUCGGUCAGGGAUGGGGAUGCGUCUGAUUAGCUUGUUGGCGGGGUAACGGCCCACCAAGGCUACGAUCAGUAGGGGUUCUGAGAGGAAGGUCCCCCACAUUGGAACUGAGACACGGUCCAAACUCCUACGGGAGGCAGCAGUGAGGAAUAUUGGUCAAUGGGCGGGAGCCUGAACCAGCCAAGUAGCGUGCAGGAUGACGGCCCUAUGGGUUGUAAACUGCUUUUAUGCGGGGAUAAAGUGAGGGACGUGUCCUUCAUUGAAGGUACCGCAUGAAUAAGGACCGGCUAAUUCCGUG
This 491-nucleotide ribosomal RNA is filed under the name uncultured bacterium. RNAcentral's name for it is "partial 16S ribosomal RNA". It matches the Rfam family "Bacterial small subunit ribosomal RNA", at positions 28 to 507 of the family's 1533-position model. The record is from RNAcentral.